RNAcentral lists this ribosomal RNA (143 nucleotides) under Fuscoporia gilva. RNAcentral describes it as "5.8S ribosomal RNA". It matches the Rfam family "5.8S ribosomal RNA". Rfam says of the family: 5.8S ribosomal RNA (5.8S rRNA) is a component of the large subunit of the eukaryotic ribosome. It is transcribed by RNA polymerase I as part of the 45S precursor that also contains 18S and 28S rRNA. Lineage: Eukaryota; Fungi; Basidiomycota; Agaricomycetes; Hymenochaetales; Hymenochaetaceae. The record is from RNAcentral.
AACUUUCAACAACGGAUCUCUUGGCUCUCGCAUCGAUGAAGAACGCAGCGAAAUGCGAUAAGUAAUGUGAAUUGCAGAAUUCAGUGAAUCAUCGAAUCUUUGAACGCACCUUGCGCUCCUUGGUAUUUCGAGGAGCAUGCCUG